RNAcentral lists this unclassified non-coding RNA (274 nucleotides) under uncultured Leotiomycetes. RNAcentral describes it as "sequence contains ITS1". The stretch from base 1 to 104 matches the Rfam family "5.8S ribosomal RNA", at positions 50 to 154 of the family's 154-position model. The record is from RNAcentral. Lineage: Eukaryota; Fungi; Ascomycota; Leotiomycetes.
GAAAUGCGAUAAGUAAUGUGAAUUGCAGAAUCAGUGAAUCAUCGAAUUUUUGAACGCAUAUUGCACUCCUUGGUAUUCCUUGGAGUACACUUGUUCGAGCGCCGGUUGUGUCGUAAGGCUCUGCCUUGUGUUGGGACUGCCUGCAAAGGCAUUCUCCAAACCUAUGGGCGUCUGUCGUGCCUGAACCGCAACACACUGCGCGUAGGGACGUCGGCAGUCGCCGAAAACCGUCUAGCAUGGCCUCGGAUCAAGUGGGGAUACCCGCUAAACUUAA